RNAcentral lists this ribosomal RNA (445 nucleotides) under uncultured bacterium. RNAcentral's name for it is "partial 16S ribosomal RNA". It matches the Rfam family "Bacterial small subunit ribosomal RNA", at positions 354 to 796 of the family's 1533-position model. The record is from RNAcentral.
GUGAGGAAUAUUGCGCAAUGGAGGCAACUCUGACGCAGCCAUGCCGCGUGCAGGAAGAAGGCGCUACGCGUUGUAAACUGCUUUUAACCGGGAAGAAACCCCAGGACGUGUCCUGGGUUGACGGUACCGGAGGAAUAAGCACCGGCUAACUUCGUGCCAGCAGCCGCGGUAAUACGAAGGGUGCAAGCGUUAUCCGGAUUCAUUGGGUUUAAAGGGUGCGUAGGCGGAGCGUUAAGUCAGUGGUGAAAUCCUGCAGCUUAACUGUAGAAUUGCCAUUGAUACUGGCGCUCUUGAGUGCGCUUGAAGUGGGCGGAAUGUGCCGUGUAGCGGUGAAAUGCUUAGAUAUGGCACAGAACACCAAUUGCGAAGGCAGCUCACUAAGGCGAUACUGACGCUGAGGCACGAAAGCGUGGGGAUCGAACAGGAUUAGAUACCCUGGUAGUCC